This 207-nucleotide unclassified non-coding RNA is filed under the name Hevea brasiliensis (rubber tree). Lineage: Eukaryota; Viridiplantae; Streptophyta; Magnoliopsida; Malpighiales; Euphorbiaceae. The record is from RNAcentral.
AACAUUUGUACCAGGUACAUUGUACACAAACAAAGUUGUAAUGUAUAUGAUAGAGGUGGAGUGAUGUAUUGGAUGUUAAGAGAGAGAGAUGGAAAAAGGAAAUUUUUGUAAUUUAUUCAAAUGGUAGGAUUUUUAGAGAAUAUGUUUUCUUAAGUCAUGUAAUUACGUAGUUUUCCCUAAAAAGAAACCGUUAAAGGAGUAUUUGUA